GUUGUGGAAUCGAAUCAACCAGAGAUCAAGAUCAAUGCUAAGCAAUCACAGCUAUGAAACGAUUUCGUGAGAUCAAUCUAAUCGAUACGAGAGAAUCAAAGACUAGAAAUCACGAUAAAGACACAGCGAGAUGUUAUCCAGUUCGAGCGCAAACCGCGACUCUACGUCUGGCCGAGGAUCACCUCGGAAUCCACUAAGCUCAGUGUAUUCAACACCGCCGUAUCAACGCCGUAACUCUUACCCGAAAAGCCCCAAGAGAAAUCACUCACCCCCGUAGAAUCUAACUCCUCUCUAUCGCUUUUCUCUCUCCCCGUGUUUCCCAGAAAUGAUCUACACUCUUUACAACUCGUCACACAAGCUAGAUAACAACCGCAGUCAACGGCCUCUAACCGUGGACCCCACUCUGUAACAAACUUUCGACGAAGCAAGACGAUGACGUGAUACGACGGCGUAUUACAAUGAUAUUAAACCGACUCCUAAACCGGAAUACAAUUAACAAUCAUUAAUCGAACCAAAACCGGUUCUGAUUUCUUCGAGUCUUCACAACCAACUUCCUACACACUCCACCUUGGUUGCAAGACUUCACGCUGAGCUUAGAUGAACUCCAUCCUCGAGUUCCCUUCUGUUCUCAAAGUACAGAAGCGCCCAGUAAGCUCAAAAGAUGUUUGAACUUACUUACCGGCAAUACUUUUGUGAAGGUAUCUGCAAGGUUCUUAUCAGUAUGCACCUUUGACACCUGCACUUCACCUUUCUCCACCAAUUCCCUGACAAAACUUAACUUCCUCGCCAUAUGUUUCGUCCUUUCAUGAUGAACAUUAUUCUUCGCAAGAGCCCUAGCGCUUUGAGAAUCACAGAAGAUCUCAAUGUUUGCUUGUUUAUACCCAAACUCUUCACUAAGACCCAUUAGCCAAAUAGCUUCCUUUGAUGCUUCAGUUAGCGAGAUGUACUCAGAUUCAGUUGUUGAUAGAGCUACAACCUUCUGUAAGCUUGAUCUCCAACUUAUAGCACACCCACCAGACAAGAAAGUAUAGCCUGAUAUGGACCUUCUCCUAUCAAGGUCACCUCCAAAAUCAGAGUCACAGAACCCCACAAUCUUGAACUCCUCUGCCCUUUCAAACUUCAAACUCAUGCAACGAGUCCCAUUGACAUAUCUCAAUAUCCACUUGACUGCAUCCCAGUGUUCUCUGACCGGAUCACUCAUGAACCUACUCACUAGUCCGACAGGGUAAGCUAGAUCAGGUCUAGUACCUAUCAUACCAUACAUGAGACUUCCAACAGCAUUGCAGUAUGGAACUGAUCUCAUGUAUUCUUCAUCCACUCUUACUCGCUUCGGAUCUGCUGAUAUCAGUUUGAAAUGAGCUCCAAUAGGAGUGUUAACACUCUUAGCAUUCUCCAUUGAAUACGUUUUUAACACUUUCUCCAUGUAACUUUCUUGUGAUAAGAUCAAUGUCCCCUUAGCUCUGUCUCUUAUGAUUUCAAUUCCAAGAAUCUUCCUUGCAGCUCCUAAGUCCUUCAUCUCGAACCUUGAACUUAGCUGAUCUUUAAUGUUGUUUAUGAUUGUCAUGUCUUUGCUUGCGAGUAACAUGUCGUCAACAUAUAGUAGCAAGUACACAAACACUCCACCUACCCGCUUGAUAUAGACACACUGAUCAUGACAACUCCUUUUGAAAUCAAUCUCCUUCAUGAACUCAUCAAAUUUCUUAUUCCACUGUCUAGGGCUCUGCUUGAGACCAUACAGGGACUUUCUCAGUCUACAUACCCAAUCCUCUUUACCUUUUUCUUCAUAUCCUUCAGGUUGAGUCAUGUAUAUUUCUUCUUCAAGAUCACCAUGAAGAAAUGCGGUUUUCACAUCUAGCUGCUCCAGCUCCAUGUCUUCUUGAACCACAAUCGACAUCAAGUAUCUUAUAGAUACAUGUUUAACCACAGGAGAGAAAAUCUCGUUGUAAUCUACCCCUUCCUUCUGAGCAUAGCCCUUUGCUACAAGCCUGCCCUUGAACCUUGGAUCCUCUACUCCUAAGAUUCCAGGUUUUCUUUUGUAAAUCCACUUGCAUCCUAUUAUAGCUCUCCCUUUCGGUUUCUUUACGAGAUCCCAAGUGUGAUUUCUCUGCAACGAAUCCAUCUCGUCAUCAGAUGCAAGAAUCCAUUUCUUUCUGUGAGGAUCUCUCAUUGCAGACUUGUAAUCACUUGGUUCAACCAUAUCUCCAUCUUCAGCAACCAUACAUGCUAGAUAAACGUAAUCAUCAAGCUUCUUAGGAGGUUUCGGUUCUCUUCUACUUCUGUCUCGGGCUAACUGAUAGCUCCCCGUUACAGCCUCCCCUCCAGAGCCUUCUUGAUCUGAAAAAUCUUCUUCAGAAUCACUACUUUCAACUGCGAUCACAUCAGUGUUAACCACACUAUCUUGAUUUGCCUCCUGACUCUCUCCACCUGAACUCAUAUCCUUCUCUUUGGAUAUACCGAGUUCUAUAUCAAGAAAAUUUAUGUUACUCUCUUUGUGUUCAGAUGACUUUCCCUUUAAGUCUUUGUAACACUCAUCUUCUUUGAAAGUAACACUCCUGCUUAUGAUACUUCGUUUAUCUUCUAAAGACCAGACCUUGUAACCCUUUACCCCAGUAGGAUAACCAAUGAAUAUACCCUUCUUAGCUCUAGGUUGUAGUUUUCCUUCAUCAGAAUGAUGAUAGCACACACAGCCGAACUUCUUCAAAUGGCCAAACUGCGGAACUGUUUUUGACCAAAUUUCUUCAGGUAUCUCAUUCUGAAGAGCAGCAGAUGGGGUUCGGUUUAUCAGAUACACAGCAGUGUUAGCAGCCUCUGCCCAGAAAACUUUAGGUAAACCAGACUCAUCCAACAUACUCCUAACUCUUUCCAGAACUGUUCUGUUCAUUCUUUCCACAACACCAUUCUGUUGUGGUGUAUAAGGGAUAGUCUUAUGCCUUGCUAUACCUUGAUCUGAACAGAGAUCAUCAAACCUUUUAUUGCAAAACUCAAGUCCAUUAUCAGUUCUCAGCGUCUUGACCUUGAGACCAGACUGUUUUUCAACAAGAGUUUUCCAAUCUGCAAACCUGUCAAACGCUUGGUCUUUUGUCUUUAAGAAAUAGAUCCAAACCUUCCGUGAGUGAUCGUCAAUUAUACUCAAAAAAUAGUGACAGUUUCCGAGUGACUGAGGAACUGUGGGUGAGCCCCAGAGAUCAGCGUGAACAUACUCAAGACACGCCUUGCUUGUGUGUUGACCGGAGCCAAAGCUUACACGGUGAGCCUUCCCAACUAUACAGCUCUCACAGAACUGUAAAGUUGAUAUCUUCUUCUUAUCAAGCAGCCCCUUCCUGACUAGAACGUCUAUCCCUUUUUGACUUACAUGUCCCAGUCUACUAUGCCAUAAGCUUGUCUCAUCUUCCACAGACACCAGGUUCACUUCAUCAACGUGACUACUUCCCUGAAGAAAAUACAAGUUACUCUCUCUCUUGGCCUUUAGAACUGUUCUGCAUCCUUUUGUCAACUUCAAGUAACCUUGUUCAGAUGAAAAUGAACAUCCUUCACUUUCAAACACUCCAAGUGACAACAGAUUUCUUGAAAACUGUGGAAUGUACCUCACAUUUUUGAUGAGUACGAAGCUACCAUCAGAUGUCUUAAUACGAACCGUGCCAAUUCCCUUGACAGAAGAUGUAGACUCAUUAGCCAUUCUUACUGAUCCUACAUCCCGUUCUUCAAAAUCUAUGAACCAGUCUCUUCUUGGAGUCAUAUGAAAAGAACAACCAGUAUCCAUUAUCCAAAUCUCUCUGUAGUCGUAUGAUUCAGCAACGUUUACUUCUGACACAGUGAGAGAUUCAAUGUACUUGAUGCCAGUUACUGCAGACGACUCACCAGUCUCCUUUGUCGCUUCCUUUCCUCUGUCAUGGCUUCGUUUAGGACAGUUUCUUUUGAAAUGGCCCUCAGCACCACAGGUCCAACAGGUAGGUUGAUUCCCUUUUCCUCGAGACUUCGAUCUACCCUUCCCUUUGAACUUGCUCUGAUUUGAGUCUCUUGUACCUGACCUUCCUCGGUUAUUAGAGCUUGAGUAUAACACUUCACCUUGAGAUUUGCUCCCCUUGCCAUUCCCAUUCACUCCCAACUCUAGUUGUUUUGAAUGGAUGGAGCUAAUAACUUCAUCAAGUGUCACAGUAGUCUUACUAUAUCUCAAUGUAUCCCUCAGCUGAUCAAACUGUUUUGGGAGUGACAUCAAGAGUAAGAUAGCUUGAUCUUCAUCAGAGAUCUCCACCAUGACAUUACUCAGAUCUGUUAUGAUUCUCAGGAAUUCAUCAAUGUUAUUCUCAAUAGUCAGCGACUCAUUCAUAUGAAAACCAUAUAAGCAUUGCUUCAAAUGCAUCCUGUUCGGGAGCGACGUAGACAUGUACUGAGCAUCCAGUAUCUUUAACAUACCAACUGCGGUCUUCUCCUUUAUGAUCUUCCUCAAGAUCUGAUCCGUCACAUACAUGAUGAUGGUGCUUCGUACUUUUCUCUGCUUCUCAGCCAAAGAUACAUCGACUUGUUGCUUCGAAUCAGAUUCAUCUGCAACUCCCUUAAGCUUCGUAUCUUCCAGCUUAUCCUCAGACUUCUUCAGAUCUUCUUCUUGACUUAUAAGAGCAUCCCUAAGUCCAAGAAGAUCCAGGUUCGCCAGUAACCUUUCCUUCCACAUGUUGUAAUCGAUCGAGCCAUUGAACUUUUCCAUCUCAACCUUCGCUUUCGCCAUCUUGACGAUAUACUUUCGUCGAUGCCGAUCAGCCGCCUUCGAUUCCUUCCCUAGAUAGCAAAACCUAGGCUCUGAUACCACUUGUUGUGGAAUCGAAUCAACCAGAGAUCAAGAUCAAUGCUAAGCAAUCACAGCUAUGAAACGAUUUCGUGAGAUCAAUCUAAUCGAUACGAGAGAAUCAAAGACUAGAAAUCACGAUAAAGACACAGCGAGAUGUUAUCCAGUUCGAGCGCAAACCGCGACUCUACGUCUGGCCGAGGAUCACCUCGGAAUCCACUAAGCUCAGUGUAUUCAACACCGCCGUAUCAACGCCGUAACUCUUACCCGAAAAGCCCCAAGAGAAAUCACUCACCCCCGUAGAAUCUAACUCCUCUCUAUCGCUUUUCUCUCUCCCCGUGUUUCCCAGAAAUGAUCUACACUCUUUACAACUCGUCACACAAGCUAGAUAACAACCGCAGUCAACGGCCUCUAGCCGUGGACCCCACUCUGUAACAAACUUUCGACGAAGCAAGACGAUGACGUGAUACGACGGCGUAUUACAAUGAUAUUAAACCGACUCCUAAACCGGAAUACAAUUAACAAUCAUUAAUCGAACCAAAACCGGUUCUGAUUUCUUCGAGUCUUCACAACCAACUUCCUAC
Molecule: long non-coding RNA, 5364 nt
Filed under: Brassica rapa (field mustard)
Lineage: Eukaryota; Viridiplantae; Streptophyta; Magnoliopsida; Brassicales; Brassicaceae
Description: long non-coding RNA (BRAP_LNC000303)
Source: RNAcentral